This 1046-nucleotide unclassified non-coding RNA is filed under the name Hevea brasiliensis (rubber tree). Lineage: Eukaryota; Viridiplantae; Streptophyta; Magnoliopsida; Malpighiales; Euphorbiaceae. The record is from RNAcentral.
AAUCAAACAAGUUAUUCCAGAGCUUCCAUUGCUUCUCAUAUUUAAUACAAGUCCAUCUUUGAUACAUUUGCAUCAAAGAUCACUACAUAAUAUUUCUUUCUUAAAUAUACAUUUCUGUUAAAAACCUAGACAUAACUCAGGCUAUCUUUAUAUAUUAGCCCUCAAAUUAGAUCUGGCUACUAGCAUUUAUCAGAACAACAAGCUCUACGUUCUCCUUAGACGUUUGAACCACAAAAAAUCAAGUGGACCUUGCCAGGAGAAUCAUCACAUACCUGCAUCUCCAUGUUGAAAAAUGCAUCCUUUCGGCUGCUUUUUUUGAAACACUGGUUGUGUUAUUGUAAAUCGAAGACCUUACCAUGGACGUUAGUGAUGGUGAAAUCACACAUCGUUCUCUGGACUAGAACUUUUGUGAGGUCUUAAUGGGAGCCCAAAUAUCAGCACCAUUGCUGCUUGCCACACCAACAGUAUAUGAUACCGGCACAAGACAUAAGCCUUGGCUUCUCAAAUUGUAAGGUUGUGAUUCCUGUGUCUUCGACAUUGGCAUAGUUCCGAGGUAUGGUGCACUCAACACCUUCACUUGUUCAUGGAGGAAUUUUAUGUAUCCCAUUGCCUCAAGGAGAACAGAAGCCGUAUCUGUCUUGCCAUAUGGUGACACCAGCUGUUGAAGAGCAACUAUACGUUCACCAAACUUCUCCUUCUUCUCCUUGGAGGAAAUGAGCAUAUCGGCCUUUAGUCGUUUUGGUGUAAGAGAUGUGAGGCUGCUGCUAUGCUCGAGGGAAAUUGGACUUCUUUUGUGUUGCAUCAUCUUUCCUUCUAUUGCUUCAAUUCGCUGACAAGUAAUAGCAGUCCGAGCUUUUUUUUUACGACUCUCGUAUCUACCUAGUUUGUGCCCACCUCGAUUAAUUCCGUAAAACACCUUGAUUUCGAAGUCUACAUGCAAAAGUCGCUUAAAAAUUAGAGUUUUCCGGCAGGAUUUGGCCGGAGAGAUGGCCGGAAAACAGUAAAAUUUUAAUCGGAGAGAAAAUUUUGGAAAUGAAAGGACACAG